UUUAGCACUGCUCCAAGCAUCUUCGCUACAGUUAAUUUACCUUCAGAAGGGAUGUAAGUAGGCGAUGGCAAAGGAGAAGGUAAGAUGGGACCAGAUAAGGAAGAAGAGGACAAAUCUGGAGGUGAUAGUGAGGAAAAAAGAAAUGAUUGAGAGGGCAGGAAAAGCUGGAGCACGCGAUGUGACGGUUGGGGAGGAAGCUGGAGCUUGAGCGAAGACUGGUUCUGUAUUUAAAUACAACGGCGGCAAAACCUCACACGGGAAAACACAACGUCGAGUACCCCGUAAUUUUGGUUUUUCGAGCCGGAUCGAGUUCCUGAUAAAAUAAAUCCAUCCAAUGAAUCAACAAAAUCACCCAUCCAAUCAACCACCUUUAAAUUUACAAAAAUACUCAAGCAAACAUAUACGUGGAAAAAUUAUGAAGGUGAUGGUGAUGGCAACGAUGGUGGACAUGAUGGCGAUGGCAACGGAGGUGCUAAUGAGGGGUCGGACGGCGACAACAAUUGGGUUAAUGUUGAGUUCUAAAAAAAAUGAGCUUUGU
This is a long non-coding RNA of Bactrocera latifrons, 538 nucleotides long. RefSeq lists it as uncharacterized. NCBI's taxonomy places the organism in Eukaryota, Metazoa, Arthropoda, Insecta, Diptera, Tephritidae. The record is from RefSeq and is a predicted model, not a curated record. The transcript has 3 exons.